AGAACGAACGCUGGCGGCAGGCUUAACACAUGCAAGUCGAGCGGGUAGCAAUACCAGCGGCAGACGGGUGAGUAACACGUGGGAACCUUCCUAGAGGUACGGAACAACGCAGGGAAACUUGUGCUAAUACCGGAUAAGCCCUUACGGGGAAAGAUUUAUCGCCGAAAGAUCGGCCCGCGUCUGAUUAGCUAGUUGGUGAGGUAACGGCUCACCAAGGCGACGAUCAGUAGCUGGUCUGAGAGGAUGAUCAGCCACAUUGGGACUGAGACACGGCCCAAACUCCUACGGGAGGCAGCAGUGGGGAAUAUUGGACAAUGGGCGCAAGCCUGAUCCAGCCAUGCCGCGUGAGUGAUGAAGGCCCUAGGGUUGUAAAGCUCUUUUGUGCGGGAAGAUAAUGACGGUACCGCAAGAAUAAGCCCCGGCUAACUUCGUGCCAGCAGCCGC
RNAcentral lists this ribosomal RNA (444 nucleotides) under uncultured bacterium. Its description in RNAcentral is "SSU rRNA". It matches the Rfam family "Bacterial small subunit ribosomal RNA", at positions 26 to 518 of the family's 1533-position model. The record is from RNAcentral.